Non-coding RNA from Ciona intestinalis (vase tunicate), 254 nucleotides. The record is from RefSeq and is a predicted model, not a curated record. Lineage: Eukaryota; Metazoa; Chordata; Ascidiacea; Phlebobranchia; Cionidae.
GAACAUCCGUGUUAUAACGGCCGUCGUUGCCCCGCCAUGCAGGAUAAAUAAGUUACAUACAUGGUGACUCGUAAGCUAGCACGAGGUUAUAUGAAACAGAACAUCCGUGUUAUAACGGCCGUCGUUGACCCGCCAUGCAGGAUAAAUAAAUAACAUACAUGGUAACUCGUAAGCUGGCACGGGGUGUAUGAAACAGAACACCUGUGUUAUAACAACUGCCGUUGCCUCGCCAUGCGAGGAUAAAUAAGUUACAU